ACGCUCGACACCUGAGGCAGCAGUAGGGAAUCUUCCACAAUGGACGCAAGUCUGAUGGAGCAACGCCGCGUGAGUGAAGAAGGUCUUCGGAUCGUAAAACUCUGUUGUUAGAGAAGAACACGAGUGAGAGUAACUGUUCAUUCGAUGACGGUAUCUAACCAGCAAGUCACGGCUAACUACGUGGCAGCAGCCGCGGUAAUCUGAGCGGGCUGGCAAGGC
Molecule: ribosomal RNA, 219 nt
Filed under: uncultured bacterium
Lineage: Bacteria
Description: partial 16S ribosomal RNA
Rfam family: Bacterial small subunit ribosomal RNA
Source: RNAcentral